CAUUGGUAAGCUGGGACUGCCUGAUUGUAGACAUUUAAGUGAUGUCUGCGUGCUUUGUAAAGAGUGCCCUUCAGCCAGCUGCCCGGCUGGUCACCCCUUCAACCAGCUCUGGUACCAAGCACUGAAAGUGUUUUCACCCUGCCAUGUAAGUAGCAUGAUCUCCAUUCUCCCUGGUAAAGCUGAGGCCGAGGGCAGUGAGGCGAGCAGCCCAAGAGGCCCACAGCAGGUGAGUAAAUCCCACCUUUGAGCUGAGAUCUGAAGUCAGGUUUAUGCAUCUUAUUGCAAAGCCCAGAUCUUCUUCAGUUCCUCACCCUCCCCCAGGAGAAAAUGGAAAGGAAAAGCCGUUGAGAGCAGGAGGGUGAUUCCUACGAGGAGGUACAGGAGGUGGAGGUUUGAAGCGGGAGCUGCAAUAAGCAGAGUCAGAGACCCGGUGGGUUGGCUAGGAGGCUGACUGCCACAUGGCCCAGGUUGGGUGAGGGGAGUAGGGUGGUGCCCGCUUGGGCUCCUGGAUGUGGGAGGGUAAAGCUGCCUGGUCCUGGAGAGGGGGGCUGUGUGUGUGAUGCUGGGGCUCCCUCCUCUAUAUGCAGCCACACCAGCAGUGCCCGUGGAAAGGGUGGCUGUGCCUGGAGUCUGGCAGAAAGGCUGGGGCCCAAGAGGAGUCCUUGAAGGAGAAAUCUCUCCUUCUGCCCUAGAUUGGAGGCUGCAGAAAGUCAUUUGGACCAAGUGGGGGCAGGAUGCCGAGGGCAGAGGAGCUGGCUCCCGUUGGUCCCCUUUCUUUCCUCAUCUCCCUUCCCUCUGAACCCCAGUCCAGGGCCCAGGAGGGCCUGGCAGCCUGUUCCUGGCCUCCCCAGCAGAGGGCUCCAGAGCAGAGCUCAGGAUGGCCAUGGGGAGGGAGCAGCAGAAAGCAUGGACAGUCCGCCCUGCUCACAGGUGUCUAGGUCACAGGUGCUCUUUACUGUUGCACAGGUGUGUCUGUCUAUGUGUGCACCCAUGUGGGUGUGUGCAAGUGUGUACAGUAGACAUAUGUUGUUGUGUGGGCAUGUCAGUGUCGGCACGCGGGCACGACUGCCUGCCUGUGUGUUGGGUGGUAUCUAUUCACAUGUGUUUGCUCAUUUUCUCUUUGCACACGCCAGCACUACUGUGGUCCUUGUGCAUAGUUGUGUGCAUGCGGGUGUCUGUAUGCUUUGUGCAUGGGUGUCUCUGGUUGGCCUUGUGCAGAGAAAGCCGAAAAAUUACUGACAAGGUGUGCUGUGGAAUCUCAUCAUUCUCGAGGACAAGGAUGAGGGACCCCCUGCUCCUUCUGUGCCAUCUGACAUUCACACCCUGACCCAGCCGCCUGACUCCUGCCCUCAAUCAACACAGCCCCUGAAUUUGUUUGUUAAAAUCUCAUUUACAGCAGGUGUAGUUGACAUCCAGUUCCCAGGAAGCAAGUACUUCCAGAGCUGUGUGUGUGUGUGUUCUGGUUCCCUCAUUUGCAGCUCGAAAAUGUUUCUUUUCCAGCAUUUCCAUUGCGGCUCAGAGAGUUAAGAACCCAACUAGUAUCCAUGAAGAUGUGAGUUCGAUCCCUGCCCUUGCUCAUUGGGUUAAGGAUCCGGUGUUGCUACAAGCUGCAGCAUAGAUCACAGAGGAAGCUCGGAUAUGGCUUUGCUGUGACCGUGCUAUAGGCCAGCAGCUGCAGCUCCCAUUCAGCCCCUAGCCUGGGAACCUCCGUAUGGUGCAGGUACAGUCCUGAAAAGCAGAAACAGAAAAUGCUCUUCUUCUUGUUGGGAAUGAGGAGCAGAGCCCCAGAGAAUGCGGGGAAGGUAGAGGGCUGCAGUGGAGAAACAGCAGGCUGGUAGCUGGUUCAUCCAUAGCUGAAGGGAGGCAGCGGCCAUGGGGGCAAGGUCUUGGCCCAGAAGUCUGGGGGGCCCUGGACGGGGCCCAGCUCUGCUACCAGCUGGAGGCCCUGGCUGAUGGGAAGCAGCCCCUCCUGUGGUGGUCUGUGCUGCUGUUCAGCCAGGGCCAUUGGGGAGAACAAAUGGGGUACUCCCCUCACCCUGUGUCGUGUGGAAAAGGCACUUGUCGAAGGGAGUGCGGUCGAGGAUGGCGCCCACCUCAGGAUGGGAGGCUGUAUUGGUUUCCUGUCGCUCCUGUGACAGCUCACCACGAACUUAGUGGUUUAAAAUAAUCCGCAUUUAUUUUACAAUCCUGGGGACCACAAGUCCAAAAUCAGCCUCACCAAGCUAAAGUCAAGGGAUUGGCAGUGCUGUGUGCCUUUUGGAGGCUCUAGGGGAAAUGGGUCUCCUUGCCUUUUCCAGAUUCUAGAAGCUGCCUGCAUCCCUUGGCUUGGGGCCCCUUCCUCCUUCGUGCUGUCACAUCGCCUUUCUAUUGCUUUGGCCUCUUGCCUCCCUCUGGGAAGGACCCUGGUGAUUACCCUGGACCCUCCCAGAUAAUCCAGGACAGUCUCCUCAUCUCAAGCUCCUUGACAUGAUCACAUCUGCCAAGUCCUUUUGGCUGUGAGGUUAACAUUUGUUCACAGGUUCUGGGGAGUAGAUAUGUGGGCCUCUUUUGGGGCCACUGUUUUGUCUACUACCUAGAGAAAUCACAGACAAGCUGGCCAAAGUGGGUAACAGUCUUUUUAAAUUUUUUAUUGGAAUAUGGGCUGACUUACAAAAUUGUGUUAAUUUCAGGUGUACGACAAAGUAAAUCAAUUACACAUAUACAUAUAUCCGUUCCUUUUGACAUUCCUUUUUUUUUUCUCUUCUUUUUUAGGGCAGCCCCUGGGGCAUAUGGACGUGCCCAGGUUACUGGUUGAAUCAGAGCUAUAGCUGCUGGCCUACACCAUAACCAUAGCAACGUGGGAUCCGAGCUGCCUCUGUGGCAUACACCGCAGCUUGUGGCCACGCAGGAUCCUUAACCUGCUGAGCAAGGCGCAGGGAUGGAACCUGUGUCCUCAUGGAUACUAUUUGGGCUUUUAACCCUCUGUGCCACAACGGGAACUCCCCCUUUGGAUAUUCUUGAUCCUCCUGCGGUUUCACUGAGGCACCAGUGGGACCCUCACUCCUGCCGAGGAGCCAUCUGGUCCUGACGUCUCGUCUGGCGGAUUGAGCCCCAGGAACCAGGGUGCGCUGGCUGCCUAAAGGGCCUUUCCUUUCUGCCUGCCUUCCCGGCAGCCCCUGGCCAGGCACCAGCUAUGACCUCAGCCCACACUGACCCUUCGGUUCCCCCCUCACCCCCUCCCAGCCUGCUCCAGAUCCAGCCUCCGGCCCUGUCCAUGCUCCCAGAACACCCCGCGUGACUCGGUUCCUGUUCUGUCACAGCCCCUACUCCCUGCCCCAGAGGCACCCUGGGCUCCAGGCUGCCCACCCGCCACCCAGCCCUCUCCACACGUGUGAAAAGCACACGCAUGGGCGCUCUGCAGCUCCCCGCAGGAAAGCCCAGCCGCAAGACCCAGAGCAGAGGAGAGGGGACACACACAAGCGUGCAGGCCAGUGCCAGGGUUUGGGGAUGGGGGGCGGGGAUCCAAUGGAACGACGGGCCUCCCGGAUGCUGUAUCAAGCCAAACUCCCCAGCAGAGUCAGCACCACAUCUGGAAUUAAGCUGGAAAUUCCAAUUGCUCUCUGCUGCUAAAAAAAAAAUGUGUCAAAUCUUCCCAGAGAUUUUGUGGAAGUGGGAAGCGCUGCGGGGCGGUGGAGGGGAGGGGGGUGCGCUCCCUCCACAGGACCCGUGAGCUUUGGGGAAAUCCAGAUGUCACAAUGUGUCCACAGCCCUCUGGCUGAUGGCUCCCCCAGCCUCCCUCAUCUGUGCUCCCUGCCCCGUGAAAAUUAAAGACGCCUGGAGCAGGGGAGGGGCUGUUUCGCUUCUCCCAAGGACCCACACGUCCGUUCAUGUAAGUGCAUGUGAGACUGUGACUUUUUUUGAUAGGGAUUGAGUUAUUUUUUCCUGGAGAGGAAAACGUUGACAUGCCUUUGGUGGAUCGUCCGCCCAGAAAUUUCCAAUGCAUGAAGAAGCUGUGCUCUUCCCUUUGCUCUAACACACACACACACACACACACACACACACACACACACACGCACACACCUUCCAAAGGCCCAGAACUCACUGUGUGGUCUGAGCCCCUUCAGGGCCUCGCUGCACUGCUAGCCCAGCCCCAACCAGUGCAGGAUGGGGAUUCCAUAGAGCUGGGUCUGCAGGGCCAGGGAAGCUUGGACCACUUGCUUGUUCUCAAUCUCUAGGCAAGUGGAUGAAUUUCCUGUUACUGCUGUAACAAAUCACCACAAGCUGAGUGACUUCAACAACACAAAUAUAUUCUCUUACAAUUCUGGAAGUCGGAAGUCCAAAAUCAGCCUCGCUGGGCUAACGUCAAAGCAUCUCCAGGGGAAAAUCCAUUUCCUUGUCUUUUUUCACAUCUAGAGGCUACCUCUAUUCCUUGGCUUAUGGCCCCUCCCUUCUAUAGCAAGCAUCCUUCUCGGGUCCUUAGCCAGAACAUCAGAGGGUCUCUCUCCCCAAGCCUCUUCCCGUUCUGAUACUAACAUCCUAGGUCUCUGGGACCUUGGGGGAUAUGGGCCCGGCCCCUCCCCUCUCUCCUCUUUGCUGAGUCUCUGGGGCUCGUAUUGUCUCUUUUUGUCCUCUUCCUCCAGCCCAGGAGUCUGACAUCCCAGGCUGGGGCUUUUGCCCCUCAGUUUCAUUCUCAACAAGUGAAGAAUUCAUCCCAGCCCCAACUUAGUUUAGGAUCUGAAUUAUACUUUUCUCCAAGGCAGGGCUCUCGACUGCCCAGCUGUCAUGCGGGGGCCAAGGAUCCUGAUCCCGAUUCAAGGAUGUUGGGUGGGUAUCCAAGACGUCCAAAUGGAGGGGCAGGGAUGCGGGUACCCUUCCUGGCAGUGGUCCUUACCAGCCUGACCUCCCAGAGCUCAGGCCACCCGGUCACAGCGUGACAUUGAAAGUCCCUCGCCAGGGAGAGAGGGAUGAGGCUGACCCAGCCUGGGUAGUCCCAUGGGACCCAAUAGUACAGACUGGUGUCCUUGGUGGCCUCCCGAGUAAAGAGCCUCUUUGAGCCAGACCUUCCUUCUUCCUUUUCUUUCUUCCUUUCCCUCCCUUCCUUUUUGUCUGACCCAGUGCCUGGUCCUUUGUCAGGCACAGGAUAAGAGCUGGAAGGGCUCGGUCCCCCAGCCUGUGAGAAGCACUGCCCAUAGCCCCUCCCAAGCAGUGAGAGUUCCCAAGUGUGGAAGCCAAAUGGGGCUGCCCGAGGUGCCAGGAGGGCUUCCUGGGGCUGGUGGUGCUGCAUUUUCCACCCUCAAACACACUAAAACACUGAGCCACCCGCACACGCCAUGUGAGGGGAGGCAGCCACGCUUCGGCUCGUGCUCUUCCCACUGCUCGACAUCUUUCCACUUGCCUCUCCUGGAUAGCUCUGGCUCAGGUGCCACCUCUUCCAGGAAGCCUUCCCUGAAGUCUGGGGAGGUUGAAUCUCCUCCUUGAUUCUCCUAGCGCCCCACAGAGAGGCUCCUCGUGUCCAAGCCAGAAACUGAUUUUAUGCUGCAGUCAAGAGAACGCCUCGGCCUUGGAGGGGCCUAGAGUGGGAGGGGGACAGUGUCUGGUGAAAUGGCACUGGGCUCUGCUGAGCCUGCUUUUUUUUGAGCCGAUGGGCCCUUACAGAUCCCCCAGUCCAUCGUCCUUUCCGGAUAGUGGUGCUGGGACCAGAAAACCCUUCUCCUGGUUUUAGCCCUCUGUCCUUCCCAUGACCCAUCCCAUCUUGAUGGGGGCUGUGUCCUGACCACCUCAGUGUCCGUGAGUGCUUGGUGAACCAACAUGCGGGGGUGCUUAUGGGGGACCUGAACCCGCCAGAGACAAGUGUUUCGGAGGCACAUGGCAUUGAUGCCACCAUUUGGUCACAUGCUGUCCUAACUCUCAAAGUGGAGCCUAGGUUUCACAUUAUCCCUUUAUGGCAGAGAUGCUAAGAGAAAGAUGGGUCUGAGUUCCAGCUUGGCCUCUUCUGAGCUAUGUAACCUCUUUGAGCUCCCACAUCCUCAUCAGCAAAACGGGGACCCGCGCUGGACAGACCUUUGUUUUGAUGAUUAAAUAAGAUGACAUAUGCCAAGUUCCCAUUGUGGCGCAGCGGAAAUGAAGCUGACUAGUGACCAUGGGGUUGCAGGUUUGAUCCCUGGCCUUGCUCUGUGGGUUGAGGAUCUGGCGUUGCCGUGAGCUUUGAUGUAGGUUGCAGACGCGGCUAGGAGCCAGUGUGGCUGUGGCUGUGGUGUAGGCCUGCAGCUGUAGCUCUGAUUCGAUUCCUAGCCUUGGAACUUCAUGUGCCAAGGGUAUGGCUGGCCCUAAAAAGCAGUAAAUAAAUAAAUAAGAUAACGUAUGAGAAGUCAGCAAUUCUCUGGCACAUAGAUAUGCAUCCGAAUAGUGGCUAAAUAUUCUCCUUCUUCACAAUUUCAUUCUAGGGGCUCAACCUUCUGGAAUCAGGAAAAUUGUCUGAUUAAGUGGAUUCAUGCUGAUUCCAGCCUCAGCUCUAUGCAAAGAGAUUCUGAUUCCCUAAGUCUGGGAAGAGUUCCCAAACUCAUUAUUUUAUUUGUCUUUAUUUUUAAAUAAACAUCCUGGGUGAUCCUGAUGCUUAGCCAGGUUUGGAAGCCACUGGAAUAAGUGAUGAUGGGGUUUUAUGUUCAUAAAGACCAACUUGUGUCCUCAAAAGUAGGGUUUUAGCUUAGAGGUACCUUCCCACGGCCCCUGGAACCACAGCAGGUGGGACCUUCUCUCUCCCCAUGGGGGGAGGGGGUGGCAUCCCUCCAGAGCAGCCCCACAGGAAGGGAUGGGGGCCGCGCCAGCUGUGUCCCCUCCUGCAGCUGUUUCAGUGCCAUAGCCCCGUGGAAACCACUGUGAAAUUCAUUCUCCACAUCUCCCGAAGUUGGGCCAGGUGGCUACUGGCUGGGGCGGCUGAUCCCACCCGACAAGAGGCCUGCGAGCCAGGGAAAUACAGCCACCCGCCUCCACUCAGCACAGGGCCCCCCGUUCCACCCUCCCGGGCCAGUAAGUGCUUUUUGUCCCAGAUCAACUCAAAUCCUCCCCCGGGAAAACUUUUCUUUCCUCAGGAAGCACCCAGCUCUUGCCUUGCUGCAGGUUCUCUCAGGGCUGUCUGGCUCUGGAACCUGGUCAGGACUGGAUCCCGCCUCCCAGGGACCCCUGAGGCCUGGGGCUGAGCUGGCUGCUCUGGGAAAAUGCAAGCGGAGGAGGCGGGAAGCUGCAGAUUCCACUCAUCCGCCCGAGAAUGGCAGCGGGCCGGAGCUCUCCCUGCAGCAGGGAGCUGAGCUUUUUAUGAGCUGCACGGAGCUACAGAAGCAGGGAUUUGGCUGAGGAAGAAGGGAAAGGCCCAGAAUGAGAGCACUGUCCUCCGUCAAGGACACAGGACUGUUGACGUGGGAGAGAUGGGCGCAGCCUCUGGAUCAAGUCCACGGGGAGGAGGAAAUGGUUUUCACUGAAAAACAAAGUUGAAAAACAGUUUACUGAAGGGACAAGAAGGAGGAAAGGGGGUGGGGAACCACCUCAAACUGUCUGAUCAUCAAAAUCACCUAGUCAGUUAAAAAUACAGAUUCCAGUCCUCGUUCCAAGUCAAUAAAAUAUUAUUCUUGGU
RNAcentral lists this long non-coding RNA (7606 nucleotides) under Sus scrofa (pig). RNAcentral's name for it is "lncRNA (ENSSSCG00035065944.1)". The record is from RNAcentral. Lineage: Eukaryota; Metazoa; Chordata; Mammalia; Artiodactyla; Suidae.